This 433-nucleotide ribosomal RNA is filed under the name uncultured bacterium. RNAcentral's name for it is "partial 16S ribosomal RNA". It matches the Rfam family "Bacterial small subunit ribosomal RNA", at positions 29 to 507 of the family's 1533-position model. The record is from RNAcentral.
AACGAACGCUGGCGGCAUGCCUAACACAUGCAAGUCGAACGAGACCUUCGGGUGUAGUGGUGCACAGCGGCUUAAUGCCAGGGAACCUGCCCUUCGGUCCGGCAUAACUAACCGCACGGGGUCUUACUAACGUAUAUUGUCCUACGACCAAAGAUUUAUCGCCGUUGGAUUGGCGCGCGUUGGUUUAGCUAGUUGGGAGGGUAAAAGCCUACCAAGGCGACGAUCCAUAGCUGGUCGGUGAGGAUGAUCUGCCACACUGGGACUGAGACACGGCCCAGACUCCUACGGGAGGCAGCAGUGGGGAAUAUUGGACAAUGGGCGAAAGCCUGAUCCAGCAAUGCCGCGUGAGUGAUGAAGGCCUUAGGGUUGUAAAGCUCUUUUACCCGGGAUGAUAAUGACAGUACCGGGAGAAUAAGCUCCGGCUAACUCCGUG